GUUGAACGCUGGCGGCGUGCUUAACACAUGCAAGUCGAGCGGUAACAGGUGUAGCAAUACAUGCUGACGAGCGGCGAACGGGUGAGUAAUGCUUUGGAAUCUUCCUCGGAGUGGGGAAUAACCUGGGGAAACUCAGGCUAAUACCGCAUACGAACUACGGUUGAAAGCAGGGGAUCGCAAGAACUUGCGCUAUGAUAUGAGCCGAAGUCGGAUUAGCUAGUUGGUAGGGUAACGGCCUACCAAGGCGACGAUCCGUAGCUGGUCUGAGAGGAAGACCAGCCACACUGGGACUGAGACACGGCCCAGACUCCUACGGGAGGCAGCAGUGGGGAAUAUUGGACAAUGGGGGCAACCCUGAUCCAGCGACGCCGCGUGUGUGAAGAAGGCCUGCGGGUUGUAAAGCACUUUUAGUGGGGAUGAAAAGCCAAGGGUUAAUACCCUUUGGUCUUGACCUAACCCAAAGAAAAAGCACCGGCUAACUCUGUGCCAGCCGCCGCAGUAA
Molecule: ribosomal RNA, 502 nt
Filed under: uncultured bacterium
Lineage: Bacteria
Description: partial 16S ribosomal RNA
Rfam family: Bacterial small subunit ribosomal RNA
Source: RNAcentral